Molecule: non-coding RNA, 148 nt
Filed under: Homo sapiens (human)
Lineage: Eukaryota; Metazoa; Chordata; Mammalia; Primates; Hominidae
Source: Rfam by way of RNAcentral
GCUGGGUGUAGUGGUGCGCACCUGUAGUCCCAGCUACUUGGGAAGCUGAGACAGGAGAAUUGCUUGAACCCAGGAGGUGGAGGUUGCAGUGAGCUGAGAUCGCACCACUGCACUCCAGCCUGGGCAACAGAGUAAGACUCUGUCUCAA